This 268-nucleotide unclassified non-coding RNA is filed under the name Hevea brasiliensis (rubber tree). Lineage: Eukaryota; Viridiplantae; Streptophyta; Magnoliopsida; Malpighiales; Euphorbiaceae. The record is from RNAcentral.
CGCUCUCAAAGUAGCAUAUAUUAUUCAAUCUUGAUGAAAGAGGGACACAAGCCAUCAUCUAUAGUGAUGGUGCCUCUUACAAACUUCAACACACGGGUAACAAGCAUACACUCAAGAGUCAAGAGGUGGCUAGGUUUUGUGUGUACAAUGGAACACGCAGGCAUGUACACAACCAAGUAUACUCCACCCCAAACUAUAGUCUUUGCAAUGGUUUUGGCAGUUGCUCAGAAACCAUGAAUCUUGAUGUGUUCCUUCUUCACAAUGCCGG